AGAGUUUGAUCCUGGCUCAGAGCGAACGCUGGCGGCAGGCCUAAUACAUGCAAGUCGAACGGAUCCUUCGGGAUUAGUGGCGGACGGGUGAGUAACACGUGGGAACGUGCCCUUUGGUUCGGAACAACUCAGGGAAACUUGAGCUAAUACCGAAUGUGCCCUACGGGGGAAAGAUUUAUCGCCAUUGGAGCGGCCCGCGUCUGAUUAGCUUGUUGGUGAGGUAAAGGCUCACCAAGGCUACGAUCAGUAGCUGGUCUGAGAGGAUGAUCAGCCACACUGGGACUGAGACACGGCCCAGACUCCUACGGGAGGCAGCAGUAGGGAAUCUUGCGCAAUGGGCGAAAGCCUGACGCAGCCAUGCCGCGUGAAUGAUGAAGGUCUUAGGAUUGUAAAAUUCUUUCAGCGGGGACGAUAAUGACGGUACCCGCAGAAGAAGCCCCGGCUAACUUCGUGCCAGCAGCCGCGGUAAUACGAAGGGGGCUAGCGUUGCUCGGAAUUACUGGGCGUAAAGGGCGCGUAGGCGGACAGUUUAGUCAGAGGUAAAAGCCCAGGGCUCAACCUUGGAACUGCCUUUGAUACUGGCUGUCUUGAGUACGGGAGAGGUGUGUGGAACUCCGAGUGUAGAGGUGAAAUUCGUAGAUAUUCGGAAGAACACCAGUGGCGAAGGCGACACACUGGCCCGUUACUGACGCUGAGGCGCGAAAGCGUGGGGAGCAAACAGGAUUAGAUACCCUAGUAGUCC
RNAcentral lists this ribosomal RNA (742 nucleotides) under uncultured bacterium. RNAcentral's name for it is "bacterial SSU rRNA". It matches the Rfam family "Bacterial small subunit ribosomal RNA", at positions 8 to 796 of the family's 1533-position model. The record is from RNAcentral.